UUUUCCUACGGGGCGCAGCAGUGAGGAAUAUUGGUCAAUGGGCGAGAGCCUGAACCAGCCAAGUCGCGUGAAGGAUGACGGCCCUACGGGUUGUAAACUUCUUUUGUCAGGGAGCAAUUGAGUCCACGUGUGGGCUUAGCGAGAGUACCUGAAGAAAAAGCAUCGGCUAACUCCGUGCCAGCAGCCGCGGUAAUACGGAGGAUGCGAUCGUUAUCCGGCUUUAUUGGGUUUAAAGGGUGCGUAGGCGGAAUAUCAAGUCAGCGGUAAAAAUUC
RNAcentral lists this ribosomal RNA (273 nucleotides) under uncultured bacterium. RNAcentral's name for it is "partial 16S ribosomal RNA". It matches the Rfam family "Bacterial small subunit ribosomal RNA", at positions 334 to 603 of the family's 1533-position model. The record is from RNAcentral.